This 335-nucleotide unclassified non-coding RNA is filed under the name soil metagenome. RNAcentral's name for it is "partial contains 5.8S ribosomal RNA, internal transcribed spacer 2, and large subunit ribosomal RNA". The stretch from base 1 to 120 matches the Rfam family "5.8S ribosomal RNA", at positions 35 to 154 of the family's 154-position model. The record is from RNAcentral.
GAUGAAGAACGUAGCGAAAUGCGAUAAGUAAUGUGAAUUGCAGAAUUCAGUGAAUCAUCGAAUCUUUGAACGCACAUUGCGCCCGCCAGUAUUCUGGCGGGCAUGCCUGUUCGAGCGUCAUUUCAACCAUCAAGCCCCCGGCUUGUGUUGGGGACCUGCGGCUGCCGCAGGCCCUGAAAACCAGUGGCGGGCUCGCUAGUCACUCCGAGCGUAGUAAUACAUCUCGCUCAGGGCGUGCUGCGGGUUCCGGCCGUUAAAAAGCCUUAAUUACCCAAGGUUGACCUCGGAUCAGGUAGGAAGACCCGCUGAACUUAAGCAUAUCAAUAAGCGGAGGA